Molecule: ribosomal RNA, 254 nt
Filed under: uncultured bacterium
Lineage: Bacteria
Description: partial 16S ribosomal RNA
Rfam family: Bacterial small subunit ribosomal RNA
Source: RNAcentral
UACGUAGGGACCAAGCGUUGUUCGGAUUUACUGGGCGUAAAGGGCGCGUAGGCGGCAAUUCAAGUCAUCUGUGAAAUCUCCGGGCUUAACCCGGAACGGUCAGAUGAUACUGCUUUGCUAGAGUGCGGAAGGGGCAAUCGGAAUUCUCGGUGUAGCGGUGAAAUGCGUAGAUAUCGAGAGGAACACCUGAGGUGAAGACGGGUUGCUGGGCCGACACUGACGCUGACAGCGCGAAAGCCAGGGGAGCAAACGGG